RNAcentral lists this long non-coding RNA (768 nucleotides) under Mytilus galloprovincialis (Mediterranean mussel). Lineage: Eukaryota; Metazoa; Mollusca; Bivalvia; Mytilida; Mytilidae. The record is from RNAcentral.
UCUCAUAUUGAAUGAUUUAUGGCACAUAAAGUUAACUUUUCACAGUUUAAAACUUUGAAACUACUUUUAACAGAAAUAAAUUGUCAUCACAUACUUCCCAAUAUCUGUAUUAUAUCACAAACUCUUGUUUAACAUAACUUCCAUGUUAAUUCAUUUGAAAUUGUUGAAACUUUUGUCCUUCUCCAUGUUGAUAUAUAAGGCUAAAGUGUCGUCUGCUGCCAGUGCCUCGUUCCAAAAUUAAUUUGCAUUUGUAAACAUGUGCUGAUGUCAAUCCACAUAGAGUUACUGUUAGAAAACGCUAUUUUUAUGCAUGUUGUAAAUAAACUGUAGUUGUUGUAUGAAGAAAUGUUAUUCCUGAUAUCAGUCCUGUUGAUUGAAUCGUUGUUAUAUGAAGUAUUCCAUUGUAGACUAUGAAAUGUAAAUAUUACGAGCACCUGUUCUGAGUGUUCAUCUUUAUGAAUGAAUGUGUAAAUUCCUGCUCAUGCGCAGUAGUUAUAACAUGUCAAGCUAAUCUUUGAUGAUUAUUAGUUCGAUUUUUAAUUUAACGCUUUCACAGUUGUACUCACCGGCAUUUCGUAUAUCCAUUGAGUUGUAUAAAAGUAUUCACAUAGUUUUUAUAAGCUGUCAAGUUGUUUUAGCGGCGAAUUCUGUAAUUUUGUCAGCCGUUAACACACACAUGUUUUGUUCUCAUAGACAAGUCGCUACUUCCGGUGGCGCAGUUGUAACUUUAUUUAUUGUUGCCAAGGAGAAUUGAAAUAAAUAACAUAG